GUUCAGACUCUACGUCGACGUUAUAACGAUAUCGAAUUUUGAGGGACACUGAUUUGAAAUGAUGACUGGAACAAGAAUUGGCGUGGUGUUCCUCACGCUAUUGUUUAACGCCGACCUGACAUUUGUCGCCGCGAUACAAAAUAUCAGCGAAUUUGCGGCUUGUCCGGCCGAUACAUUCGAUUAUCGUUUGCCAACAGAUGUGAUACCUCAUCAGUAUAAAAUCAAACUGCUCAUAAAUAACGAGAGUUUCGUCGGGGAGUACAAAGCAAUCAUCGAAGUACUUCGUGCAACCGCGAUUAUUGCUUUCCACAGUUACAACUUGCAUGUGCAUCAACAAACGAUACGGAUUUUGAAGUCUGAACAAAACAGUCAAAAUCUGGUCAAAAAAUUGGAAUCAAUUACUUAUUGCUACAAUGUACAGACCAUUAUUUUCGAAUUCCAAGAGCAACUAUCCCCUGGAAAUUAUACGCUAAGCAUGGAAUACGAGGGAUAUAUGGAUAGCAGCCUUGGCUUGGUGCCGGUCCAAAGCUCGAAAUAUGUUAAGACGUUGUCGUACGUGACGCUAUUUGAACCGGUCGGGGCUCGACACUUAUUCCCGUGCUGGGAUGAGCCGACGUUCAAAGCUAUCUUCGACAUUUCUGUCGAGCACUCGUUCACAGCCAAUGUCUUCUCGAUUAUGCCGUAUUCCGGAAAAAGGACAUUAACAUCAACACAGAAAGUAUUGACGACAUUUGCGUCCACACCGAGAAUGUCCACUUACCUGGUGACGAUCGCGAUCGUUGAAACCACUCUAAAAUGCGUGGUAGAGGACAAGAUCGAGAUUUGGUUCAAGUGGAACCUUGAAGAUCAAAUAGAUGUCGUCCGAGAGAUCAGUAAACUGGCCAAUUACUUUUUAACUGUUUACACAAGUUACUUGUGGGAUGUUAUGGGGAUCAAUAUCCUCGCAUUCACGAAAUUCCCGAGUAAUCCUGUGGGAGCCUGGGAACUCGCAGUUUUCAGAGAAGCUGAUCUCCUCUACGAACCAGACUUUCAUUUUCCCGGUCGCAAACUGGAGAUCUGGAAAUCGGUAGCAAGUCAAUUGACACGGCAGUGCAUCGAGAGUUUCGUCAGCCCAGUGAAAUGGUCUCACUUGUGGCUCAGUCGUGCAUUUGCAGAGUUGCUCAAAUAUAAAAUCGUCGGCAAGCAUUAUGGAGAAGAUAUUAUGAUGCAACUGUUUGUAGUACAGGUGCAACAGCCUGCUAUGCAUAAUGAUAUUGAGUUUCAAGUACCAUCUAUCAUACAGGAAUAUGACUCAAUUUAUUCUAAUCUUGUUUACAAGAAAGCAUCCGCUUUGAUAAGAAUGUUGGAAAAUAUUAUCACAGAGAGCAAGUUGCAGCUGGCAUUGGAGGAAUAUUUAAAGACAUAUGCUUACGGAUCUGCCACACAAUAUGAUUUUUUGAGGAUCCUGGAUGACGAAAUAUAUCAAGCAAAUUAUACAAAGCCCUUUACCAUAGGAGAAAUAAUACACAUCUGGCUGUCGCAAAAAAGCUAUCCAAUAUUGCUUACUGAAUCCAAUGAUGAUGACACGGGAUCAACCGUUCUACCUUAUAACAUGAAAUAUCCCGACAAAUACCGACAGAAAUGGCCAAUACCUGUGACAUUCACGACACAAAAGAAUCCUAAUCUCGUGGGGAAUUUAUCUAUAUUAUGGCAGAACCACAAUUCGUCGCAAAAGAAUAAAAACUCCAUAAAUAUCGAGCAUCAUCCGAAUGAUUGGAUUAUACUUAACGUACAACAAUUCGGCUACUACCGCGUCAAUUACGAUGUGAAAAACUGGAUAAAAAUAGCUGAUUUCCUAGACAAUGAUGACCACACACAGAUACAUGUCUUAAAUCGUGCUCAGAUCAUCGAUGAUGCGUAUCAUUUUAAAAUGAGCAACACAUUAAAUUACAAGGUUUUCUACAAGUUGAUCAGAUACUUGCGGAAAGAGACGAGUUUCAUAGUAUGGCACUCUAUGAUAAAUGUUCUGCAGUAUUUGUCGCCUUAUUUCAAUUACCCAGACAGUAAAAAUUUCAAGUUAUUUAUAUUGAACGUCAUGGAAAACGUUUUGUCGAUUAUCGGAUACGACGAAACUCCUGCGGACGAUGACAUGUUGAGAGCAACACGGUUGCUACUUCUCAAUUGGAUGUGUAAACACGGCCAUGCUGAAUGCAGAAAGAGGGCCUAUGAUAAACUGAUAGCACAUAUCAAUUAUCCAAAAGAGAAUAAAAUUUUACCGGGAUGGGAAGACUGGACGCAUUGCGCAGGCCUUAUGAAUACAAAUAUUACCAAUGGAUAUAUACUGCUGCUCGACAUCAUGCAUGGACAUGACAAAGUAAUGUUAAAUAACAUACUGUGUUUUGAAGACGAAUUCUUGCUCCAGGAGUUAUUGGCACUGGCCACAUUCAAACCUGAGGGUAAAUGGAAAGAAUUGGGAGAUGCAGAGCUGAAGAAAUUUUAUCACGACUUUAUGAAGAAGCACGCGAGGAAGGCCCAAGUGCUUGAUUUUAUUCUGAACAGUUUUGUGGUAUGACAUACAUAGAGGGGAUGGCUGAAGUUAUUAUGAGCCUUUAUUCCAGAUGCCAACUUGAAGAAGUAUGGCAAUACGUGAUAAGAAAGCACAAAAAUAACUCGGAUAUAAUCGAA
RNAcentral lists this unclassified non-coding RNA (2664 nucleotides) under Harpegnathos saltator (Jerdon's jumping ant). RNAcentral's name for it is "glutamyl aminopeptidase-like, transcript variant X1". The record is from RNAcentral. Lineage: Eukaryota; Metazoa; Arthropoda; Insecta; Hymenoptera; Formicidae.